RNAcentral lists this long non-coding RNA (2281 nucleotides) under Zostera marina. RNAcentral's name for it is "long non-coding RNA (ZMAR_LNC002199)". Lineage: Eukaryota; Viridiplantae; Streptophyta; Magnoliopsida; Alismatales; Zosteraceae. The record is from RNAcentral.
UAGUAUUCAUAUACUAUAGUCGUGUGUAAAACACUAUCAAGCAAGUUGACUCAGUAUUCAUAUACUGUAGUAAGCUUCAGAGAGUAAUACUUACAUCAUUAUAUCAAUCAAAAUCAUAAUAUCCUUAUAUCAUUACUUGUUCAACCAUUUGUUUAUUUAGCAUUUACAGGUAAUUCCGCAAUCAACCUGUAUAAAUCGAAAAGAGGCUAUUACCCCCCCCUUAUAGCCUCGGAUCACGAUCCAACAGAUUUUACUUAAGUCGACUUUACCCAGGUCGACUUUUUCAGAGAUCGAUUUUCCCAGAGAUCAACUUUUCAGAAGUCGAGCUAGAAAAGUCGACCUUUAAAAAAAUCGAUCUCAAAAAGUCGACUUGAAACCAGAUUUGAGCAAUUAGGCGAAGUGUAACAUCUCGAAAUUUAACAGACAAUAAUGAAAUCAAUGAAUCAUGUUCAAUCAUACAACAAAUGGCUAACUGCCUUUAUUACAAUUCAAAUGGUUCAAAAUGCAAAUAACAAAAAUGUGGAAACGGAACAAACGAAACAAAGUGAGUUUUGAAAUCAAAACUCAGUACGGAUAUCAUAUUACUUCUCUUUUUAGUUUUUUAUUUCUAGGUUGAUAAACAGACUCGUUUAGCCAGACGUCUUAGGGCUUCAAGCCCUCUCGUAGGAACGACUGUUGUCAUUCCCCAAACUUGACUUGUGUGGUGCACAAGCUCGACCAGACUCGAAUUACUCUGAAGAAUAAUUCGACCAGACUGCCCCGUCGGUCCGGUUAACCUCGUCAGGCUCAAACUCGAAUUCCCUCAUGGUUCACCCGAUCAAUAUCCCCAAAGGGUCACAUUAUCAAACUUAGCCUCUCAGCUCAAAUUCGAGUUCCCCAUGGGUUCACUCGACCAAACUCCCCCGUCGGGGCACAAUUUAUCAUAUUUUUCUUUUCCAGUUCCAUUAUUUAAUUGUUGGCCUCAGUAUGGUUCGCCUCGUUCAUAUCGAGGUUUGAACUCUCAAUCAUGGAUUCAGGUCGACCAUCUCCCUGAUCCAUUUAUUCCCAACGUACUAGCUAAGAGAGUGGAAACCCAAAAUGAACCUUAAGGUGAAUCAAGGGUCCCCCUGGAGAAAUCCUUGAUUUAACCUAAGUCUCAUCCUCGCCUACUCUCUUAACCUAGAUCGGAAUUAGACCAUAUGAGCGCAGAAGGUCUCCCCGAGGACUCUUGUGCGUCACAAGGUUACUAACUCAACCCCACUCAUACACACCCCAAGGCUCUCUUUUACCUUGGGUUCCCUUCCCCACCAUACAAACGGGAAUACUCAUCAACAACUUAUCACAACAAUAUCACAUAUUUAUGUGGUUUACUAGAUGUAUAUCAUUUUAGUCGAUUUCAUAUACAAUAUAAACAAGACUACUUGACCAUUGAGAAGAGCAUAAUAUCAUUAACCAAAAUAUAGAUAAGGCAUGCAUAAAAUCCAUCCACAAAUGGGGCAUCACGUACUACACAACAUGUAUAACCAUGUAGAAACUACGUAUAAAUCUCGUCGAACUUGCAUAAAAUAUGUAUAAGGAUCCAUUAUCAUGAGUAGCAUCAAAACACAUAAAACUCAUAUGCAAAAACGUGUAUGAAAUUAUGUGCAAACCGUAUAAAAAGGUAUAUAAAAGUAUACAUAAAAAUCCAACAAUACAUAAAACAAUAAACACAUCAAAACAAGUAUAGAUAAACAUGUAGAAAACCAUGCAUAAAUCUCGUCGAACUUGCAUAAGGAUUCAUUAUCACGAGUAGCAUCAAAACACAUAAAAAUCCUAUGCAAAGACGUGUAUAAAACUAUGUGCAAACCAUAUAAAAAUGUAUUUAAAGUAUGCAUAAAAAUCCGACAACACCUAGAGCAUUAAACACAUCACAACAAACAUGGAUAAAUAUGUAAGAGACCAUGUACAAACCUCGUCAAAAGGUAUAGAAGUACAUGCAUCAAGAUCCAUCAUGAUGUGUAGUACCAAAACAUGUAAAACAAUAUGCAAAAACGUAUAUAAAAUUAUGUGCAAACCAUAUAGAGAGGUAUAUAGAAGUAUGCAUCAAAAUCCAGAAACACAUAGAGUAUCAAACAACCAUGUAUAAGCAUGUAAAAAAUUAUCAAAUCUUUCAUAAAAACAUGAAGAAUUAGACUUACUUUUACACAUAUUUACUAUUAUUUUUAAAAGAGAAACUAUCAAGAAAAGUUACUACGAUUUUCGUACCUUUUUUUUCCUAGCUUUAGCUCCUCCUAGCUCCCAAAUCGUGUCCUCCCUCUUUUUC